Molecule: ribosomal RNA, 468 nt
Filed under: uncultured bacterium
Lineage: Bacteria
Description: partial 16S ribosomal RNA
Rfam family: Bacterial small subunit ribosomal RNA
Source: RNAcentral
GACGAACGCUGGCGGCGUGCUUAACACAUGCAAGUCGAACGGAAAGGCCCUGCUUUUGUGGGGUGCUCGAGUGGCGAACGGGUGAGUAACACGUGAGUAACCUGCCCUUGACUUUGGGAUAACUUCAGGAAACUGGGGCUAAUACCGGAUAGGAGCUCCUGCUGCAUGGUGGGGGUUGGAAAGUUUCGGCGGUUGGGGAUGGACUCGCGGCUUAUCAGCUUGUUGGUGGGGUAGUGGCUUACCAAGGCUUUGAAGGGUAGCCGGCCUGGGAGGGUGACCGGCCACAUUGGGACUGAGAUACGGCCCAGACUCCUACGGGAGGCAGCAGUGGGGAAUAUUGCACAAUGGGCGGAAGCCUGAUGCAGCAACGCCGCGUGCGGGAUGACGGCCUUCGGGUUGUAAACCGCCUUCGCCUGUGACGAAGCGUGAGUGACGGUAAUGGGUAAAGAAGCACCGGCUAACUACGUG